This 303-nucleotide long non-coding RNA is filed under the name Gadus morhua (Atlantic cod). Its description in RNAcentral is "lncRNA (ENSGMOG00000023574.1)". The record is from RNAcentral. Lineage: Eukaryota; Metazoa; Chordata; Actinopteri; Gadiformes; Gadidae.
AUAAUACCCUUAACUUUUUGUAAUUUAUUUCAUCUCAAGGCCAAAUAUGAAAUUUUCCCUGCCCGACUACUCCAGUGAAGACGAUGACAAUCGGAAUCUCCCCCCGCCUCCAAAAAUCCCAAGAGCACCAGCAAAAAAAAAAACUAUUCCAAAUUCAGAGUUGACCACCGUUACUGCUCUGCCAGUAGCACCACCGCUCUUCCGCUCCAGCCAUGCCGAGUUAACAAGUCAGACCACCACUCCUCCGUCAACUUCGCCCACAUCUCUGCCAGUACCACCCCAGCAAGGUAGAACUGCAUUUUC